GGAUUUGAAUGUUGAUGGCUAUAAACAACAUUUACAAAGCGAUGGUUUUGUAUGGAUAUUUUAUUGUAUCUCAGUCUUCAUUUAGAUGGGAUAUCAAAACAGCAACUGUUAUGUAUGGACAAAGUGCAACGCUUUCUUGUAAUGGUAAUGGCUGUACGCCAUUAAGCAUAAGAAAAUGGAUAGGAGGACCAACAAAUGGUGUAUUAUGCUUCAAUGAUUAUUGUUCAAAUCAAGCAAAAUAUCAACUAAUGUACAAUAAAUCAAAACCUUCCUUUGACCUAAUGAUAAAACGCUUCAAUUUCACCGAUGCAAACUGUACUUAUACAUGCGCAUGUGGAUUUAAUCAAUACACGCAUAUGCUGCAAAUGGAUGAAAUCGACUUUAUAUAUCCAUUAAAUAAAGAGCUAACAAAAACAAAACAGAAAGACGGCAAAUUUUAUAUAGAAAUAUCAAUGAAGGUUUAUCCCUUACCGCAUUGUACCAUUUUCUAUGAGGUAUGUAUAAUAGAUUGUAGACAAAUGUAUACACUACAAUGUGUUCAAAUUUUAUAAAAAAAUGAUAUAGUAAUAUCUCUUAUCAUAAAUGAAGAUAUAAUCGAUUGUUUUUUUAAUGGACUCAGAUUGUUUAGCUGUAUAACUGUUUGUAUUAAGAAAUUAUCUUUCCAUCAGGUGACAAGUAGACGUAACACUGUUUUGUACUUUAUCCGAAUGAAUAUGUAUAUGUUUAUAAACAUAAUUCACAUAUUGUUUUCCUUUAUUGACGAUCGCGAUCUACAGAUUCAUGACGAACACUUGAUAAAUUGUGACUAUAUUUAACAGUGACAUUAUCUAUGUUCUUUUUAUAAGCAUUAUCCGCCUAAAUUAUAGAUUUCGACUUCAUUACAAUAGUUCCUUAAUUAAGAAUUUCAAUGGUUUUUUAAUCAAGCAAAAUGUAACUAUGGUAGUGUAGAUUCUUAUGAUGAUUGAAAUUCCCUUUUUCAUAUUAUGACAUUGAGUUAGAAGUAAAACCUUCAAAGUUAACUUUUUAUUGCAGUAAUAGUAUCCAUUUAGUAUUAUGCAUUUCAAUUGUAAUGGCAUUAUUUUAGAUUAUAAUGAAAUAUUUAAAUUGCGUAUUAAAAUGCUAGUCGAGGAACUGUUUUGUUGGAUCUUAAGUUGUUUGGUUAUUGAAAUAGUAUGUCACAAUACGUUGUGCUCGUAACUUUAAAAUAGAAAAUUAAAACGAAACGGUUUCAAGAGGGUAAAAUCCACUGGUGCGUUUCUGGUUGCUGUAUUCAAUAUUCUAGUUGGCGUUUCUAUCUGAAAAUUCAGGUAAGGGCACGAUUGGGUAAUUGCAUGAAAUUAAAACUACCGUGGUAAAACUAAAACCCAUAAUUAUGCAAUAUCAAUCGUCUUUUUGUUUACUUUAUUAAUAUGAUUUAAUCUAAAUACAUAUUGAGGUUAUAAUGAAUUGAUUUUCAUGAAUACAGAGUUUAAUUGUUGAAGAAUGAUUCAAACAACAACAAAUUGAUAAAAUACACGAAUGUCAAUAUCUGACAAAAGUGUUGAGGUUGAAAAAAUAAUCUUUGAAUUAAAUAAAGUACGGUUAAUCUUUUAAAAAAUGAAAAAUGAUAUAUAACAUGUAACGAAAAAAUGUACAUGGUAAUGACGUUUUUAAUAUAAUAUAAACACAAAGAAAAUUGUAAAGCAUUUGUUGUUAGUAUCUGUCAUAUUAUAGGAAUUGUAAAGUAUUGAAAAACGAUAACAAACGGGAGACCUCAGACAACAAUAGAAUCUAUUUAAGGAAUGACUGUAAUAUUUUUUCUGUCUAUGAAGAAAUAACAUAAAAAUGUGGUGCACACUGAAUAACCAGCGUAGCGGGUUUUUUCAAAGUGUGCACCACAUUUUUUAUGUUUUUUUUCGAAAAGACAGAAAAAAUAUUUCAGUCAUUCCUUAUAAUUUAAUUCUAAAUUCCAUUUUAAUCCGGAGUAUAUCAUGAAAAAACGUUGAUGACGUCACGGUCACAUGACUAAAUUAUGUCUUUUAGCUGAUAGAUAAAACACUAUCAGCCAAUCAGAAGAAGCGUUACAUCCAUAAUUAAAUCAUAUCGAUAUUGAUAACAUAUAUCUUUUAAGACCAAAGGGAAUUUCAAAAACUGAUUUCAUAGUACUAACAGUUAUACCAGUAACUAAUUAAAAAGUGUAACCGUAGAAUACUGACGUAAUUUUGUACUAUGUAUUUCUAUUGUAUAUAUAUACUCAUCAUAGAUACCAGGAUUAAAUUUUGUAUUGACGCCAGACGCCCGUUUCGUCUACAAAAGACUCAUCAGUGACGCUCGAAUCCAAAAAAGUUAAAAAGGCCAAACAAAGUACGAAGUUGAAGAGCAUUGAGCACCAAAAUUCCAAAAAGUUUUGCCAAAUACAGCUAUGGUAAUCUUUUUCUGAAGUAGAAAAGCCUAAGUAUUUCAAAAAUUCAAAAGUUUUGUAAACAGUUAAUUAGACUAUAUCUGGUUUAUCUAACUACAAGUCAAAAUAAUUGUAGUUUGCUGCUUAUUUAUAUCCUUUUAGAAAAUUGUUUUACCUGUAGACACAAAAUUACUGGAUGUACAAACGGAAGUUGGAUUAAAAUUGUAUAAAAUCACAUUAAAAUAUACUUUAAACGUGGAGUACCAGAACUGUGAAGCAAAUCUUAGUCUGUCAUGUAAAGUUAGGUCAUUUGAGUACCAUCUGCUUCAACAGAGACUUGACCUAUGCAAAGAUCAUCCAGAUCAUCCAUAUGUUCAAAGCAGCAACCAUGUUGGGGCAAUAUUUGGAAUCGUUUCCGGUGUUGUUGCAGUAAUCAUCGUGAUAUGUGUUAUACGAUGGAGGAGAAGGAACAACAACAGAUUCUUUCGACAUUAACUGACAAAGAGGAAAGAAGUCGUGUUCACUCAUGGAACAUAGAAAAGGGAGUUCUCGCUAUCACAGUUCAACAUAAGUACAAAGAAAUAAAAAUAAAGAAUUCCGCAUAACAGGAGAGAUUAAGAAGUAAAGCGAACAUUGGUACAUAUUUACUAGUUAAGAUCAUCAGCCUUAGUAGAUAUUUUAUCAAUGAGGAAAAUAAGAGAAUUCUAUAAUCGGAAAAGUAGAGAUACAUUUUAAAAUAACAUUGGACUAGUGGUUGUAUUAGUUGAGUAUAGGAAUACUAAUAGGCACCGAAUUUUUAUUUUUGGAAUGAUAAAAUCGAUUCUGGUGAUAUAUACAUAAUAUUAAUAGAAUGUCAAUUUGUUGAAAGUAUUAGUUUGCACUCUUUUUUUGCUAAUUUAGUAAAUUUUCAGUUUAAUGUUGUCAUUUUUUAAAAAUAUUACCACUGAAUAA
Mytilus californianus (California mussel) is the source of this 3331-nucleotide long non-coding RNA. RefSeq lists it as uncharacterized. The transcript is spliced from 5 exons. The record is from RefSeq and is a predicted model, not a curated record. Lineage: Eukaryota; Metazoa; Mollusca; Bivalvia; Mytilida; Mytilidae.